RNAcentral lists this ribosomal RNA (408 nucleotides) under uncultured bacterium. Its description in RNAcentral is "bacterial SSU rRNA". It matches the Rfam family "Bacterial small subunit ribosomal RNA", at positions 125 to 518 of the family's 1533-position model. The record is from RNAcentral.
UCUGCCCCCCGGCCGGGAUAGCCCAGGGAAACCUGGAUUAAUACCGGAUGAGACGGGACCCGCGAUGGCGGGAUCCGGGAAAGGCGACUGCGGCGCCGCCGGGGGAUGAGUCUGCGUCCCAUUAGCGUAGACGGCGGGGUAACGGCCCACCGUGGCGACGAUGGGUAGCCGGCCUGAGAGGGUGACGGCCACAUUGGAACUGAGACACGGUCCAGACUCCUACGGGAGGCAGCAGCUAAGAAUCUUCCGCAAUGGGCGAAAGCCUGACGGAGCGAACCGCCGCGUGAACGGAGAAGGCCGUGAGGUUGUAAAGUUCUUUUCGGGAGGGGGAACAACCGUGGCAGGGAAUGGCCGCGGGAUGACGUGAAUCCCGGAAUAAGCCCCGGCUAACUACGUGCCAGCAGCGGC